GCUCCAGUAUUCUUGCCUGGAAAAUCCCAUGGAUAGAGAAGCCUGGUGGAUACAGUGCAUGAGGUCAUAAAGAGUCAGUCACGACUGAGCAGCUGAGCACAUACAUAUUUACAAAACACUUUUUUGAGUUCCAAUUAUAUACCAGCUGUUAAGUUCUUUCCUGCUUUUUCUCUCUUCUUAAUUUACAGUUUGGAAUCUGAACUGAUUGAUCCUUAAGGGGAAGUUAUUUUUUACUUAUAUUUACCCUGCCUAAAUUGUUCAGGAAACUGGAGUUUCUUGAUUAAAAUUCUGAUUCUCAUUCUUGAUUAAACCCAUUCUUUGGUCCUGCAGCAUUGACAGGAUAAAUGAUUAAUGUGAUUAGUCUGCAGGCACCUCUUCUGCUAGGAUCACCUGGACAUGUGACAUGCAUGGCCAUUCUGGCCUCAGUUUCCUUAUCUGUAAAGUGAGGGUAUUAGACUCAUUGGCUGCUUUGGCUCCCUUCUUCACAUUUUGAAUGGUCUUAAAAUACAUGUUUCUCCCUCCGCCUGUAGGAAUUAGUACUACUUUCCUGCUGUCAUUGGAAUGUGCACCCUAAUUUUUUUUCCAGAGUAGGGGUAAAUUUAUGCUGCUUGAGCUAUAAUCCUCACCCAGGGUACUGUUGAAGCAGGGUGGAAAUAUUCAACCCAUGAAAGGAUGUUGACAGUGCAAAGGUCUAAGCUGAUGAGCCAUGAUGUUUUCAUCAGUAUUCACAGCAUGCAGGAGUAAAGAAGAACUUUCCAGGAGUUUCACAGAAGACUACCUCUCAUCAUUGGCCAGAAAUGCUAUUGUGGGCCCAUUUCUAAACCAACUCUGACAAGAGAAAUUAACAUAAUUGGACUUUGAUCUCAGGACCCUUUUUGUAUUUUUAGAACCUGAAGACUCCAAAGAGUUAUAUGUGGGCUCCAUCUACUGAUAUUUGUCAUAUUAGAAAUUAAAUCUGAGAAUUAAAAAAGCUCAUUAAAAAUUAUAAUAAACUAUUACAUAUAAACAUUUUUAUGGAAAGUAACUUUUUCAAAGCAAAA
Bubalus bubalis (water buffalo) is the source of this 1040-nucleotide long non-coding RNA. RefSeq lists it as uncharacterized. The transcript has 2 exons. NCBI's taxonomy places the organism in Eukaryota, Metazoa, Chordata, Mammalia, Artiodactyla, Bovidae. The record is from RefSeq and is a predicted model, not a curated record.